GCAAUAUUUGGUGCAGGGCCCUCCAGCUUGGACAGCUCUGGGCAGGCAGCUGUGCACACCAAGCAGCUUGGCACAUAAUACAGGUUCUCUCUAGGCUGGACAAAGUCUCCCCAGCCCUCCUCGGGUGGAGACGGCUGCACCCAAAUGGCCGCUUGGGAUGGGUUUGGUGCCUGGGGCAGGGAUGGAGCAGGAGAUGUCCACAAUGGGGCUAGUGGCAGGGCUCCAGCCUGCACUUCUGUUUGCGCACGGGCUCGGCCAAAGCGCCCGAGAGCUUCAGGCUGGUGAACAAGGGAAGAGAGCUCUAAGUCUCAAAGGGCUCAGUGAUGGGCUAUUUAAUUGGUGUCAAUAAUCAGCAGGCAAUUAACUAAUGGGGAAUUGUCUCACUUACCCUUAGUACCUGACCAGCUGUAACACUUGUUCAUUGCAGUGAUGCUAAUGGUGGUUGGAUGCUCAUAAAACGUAAGGAUGGCACUCCACUGACUACUGAAAUGUGUGAGCUGUGAGAGAAGAGAAACAAUCCUGCUGGCUCCAGCUCGGGCUGAGAGCACAUAGCACUGGUGUGGUAAGUGAAGGAUGGCAGGACACCGAGGUUGCCCAGGUGUCCCUGUCUUGGGAUGCAUCGCGUGGCAUCAAGCAGAGGAAGCACUGCAGCACGCAGAGGAGAGAACCCAACACAAGAUCCUGAAGAUAAGACCUACUUGCUCUGCUCUGCCACAAGGCUUACGCACCUUAUAACCACAGAGAUGUUCAUGCUGAUCACAGCCCUCAGGAGGCAAACAGGAACACAAAGCCCUCAGGUUUUUCUGUCACGGAGAACAAACGUUUAGUGCAUAAGAGUGAGACAGCAUCGAGAUGAGUCACACGAGUGUCAGCUCUGCAGAAACGCAGCUGUCAGAUCCGGGAGCCAGACUGAGAGCCCACUGCUGGGGACGUCACACCCACAGCCCUGCCGCAAUGGGGCCAGACACCCAUCGUGGGAAGAGACUGGUCUACACCACUGUGUGCGGGUGAGCUCUCAACCAGGGGGGAACUGGGGCCUGUGGAACCCCUACACUCCCGUGGAGCAGCUGUUGCCCACCCUGUUGCAGGGAGAGUUGUGCAGCAGUGGAGCAUGGGGGUGGGAAAGGAGGCAACCUUUGGCACUAGCCAAAUAGGAUUGGGGGAAGGUAGGUCUGUGCCAGUAAAGCCAGCGGCAAGCAGGAGGUCUUUCCUGGAGACAGGGAUUUGUUCCUCUAAGGACAGAAGAAGGCUGUGAGGUCCUCCUGAGGACCUGUAUAUUUUCCUGGUAUUUUUUGCCAGUCUCCUACCAAAUCCCAGUGCUGGAGGAUGCUCAACUAACACACUUUACAUCUGUUGGGUUUUUGUUAAAAUAUAGUACACUAAGCAGGACUAGACAAUGUGGUUUUUGGUUAUGGUGUGAAGUAUGGGUUACGCCUACAUGGGAUGCUGCAAACCUCCAUGAGACAGCUUGGGUGACCUUUGAAGGUAUCACAUUUUCCAUGGAAGCAAGGCAAAACCACUUUUAAACUUUUUUUUUUUUUUUUUUCCUUCCCACCCCUCAACCACAAGUUUCUCUUUCCUAUAUUAUCAAUGUGACAGGUCACUGUGCUGUGGAAUCCUUUGGGUGUGGAAGGUCUUCACCUUCAUUAAAAUUCCAAAGUCAAAGCUUAAUUUAUUUACAAUUUAUGCUCUCAUGUCCGAGGAGGAAAACAACAUGUAAGGAUAGCACUGUUUGUAAGGAGCCAUGCUGCUGGCUGCAGCAAUACCCCACUUGUACUAUGCUGUAGAAAUACAUCAUACAGGUGCCUCUGUUGUGAAUGAAUUUUAUGUAUGACCUGCACACAUACUGGAACGGAUCGUUAGUGCUCUUUGGGCUGUACACCAGCCUAUUCAGCCUCAUUAAUGUUGAUGCUAUAGACUCAUAUAAUUGAUUUCCUGAGCUGAAAAAAACCCUUGUUCUUACAUAAAUGUAAGAAUUAUUUUGUUUCUGAGUGUCCUGCACUUGGUUGGAGACACAUGAUGUGUGUUUAUUUGAUCAUCUGGGAACUUGGCUGAAAUUGCAUAGCUGCUCAUGAAGCUUGUUUUUCUUCUGAAAAAUGGGUAGGAAUUAACUAGAAAUAAAUGUGAAAUCUCAAGAGAUAUUUUUAAUGGAUUUACUUUUUAGAAUACAAUUCUAUAUCCAAUAUAUUCUCUCUCCUACUCCACAUAUUCACAUAAAAAAUCACAUCACUUAAAAUGGUCAGUUAAAAGCAAUUGUGUAUUAUCAAAAUGAGUAUUUGACACAUUUUUCAGUAAAUGGUCUGAAACAUCGCAAGGCAGUGGAAACAACCUGUCAGCUUUAUUGCCACCAGAGGCUGUAGCCUCUAAUCAAAGUUCCCUUUAAGAAACAUAUUGGUCCUGAAUUUUACUUCAACUAAUAUUUAUUUCACUUCUAUUAAUAUUUUUAAUUAUGUUAUAAUUUCCAAACAGAUGAUCUAGUGUUCUUGAGCAUCCAGAGCAAGCCACCCAUAUGUGAGCUCUGCCUAUCAUCUUCAUUUUUGCAUGCAAAGCAAGCUCUUUGCCUGCGCACAGCCAUCCUGAGCUGUACACAGCCAUCCUGAGCACUGCCUCUUACCUACACAGACAGGGGCAUGGGAAACUUGAAAUGAAUCAGACAUUUUUUUUUUUAAUAAAAGCAGACAGAAAAUUGCAUCUUACAGGCCCCCCAAAAGUAGACCCAUCUGCAGUAAUUACGAAAAGCUGUCUGAAGUGAAGUGGCAGGAUUUUGUUAUCCUCCAGUGCAGGCGUUUCCCAGUAUCAGCCUUUGGGAGGCUGCACCAGACACAGAUAAAUGCUAUAGACAACACCUCACUUCAUCAGGACUUAGCUUUGGCCUUGUCUGUCUGAUUAAAUCAGACUUUUAUAAUCUCAGCCCAAAGCACAAUAAAAUCAUACAGACGGAGGAUUAUUAUUUUUUCCAGUAAAGUUUGAGGAUCAGAUACUUUCCAGUUUUAUUUCUUUAUCUAAAAGCAGACUCUCAGGUAACCAAACUGACUGCUAGUGCUACCUGCCCAGUUACAUCCUUGGUCUUCAGAAAUGCUGAUGAGAAGACAACAGCACGCUGCUGGACUGUGCCCAUCCUUAACCCAAUGCACCCUUAGCAUCCCAGAGGGAAGGCAAGAGGCAGCCAGCUUUCCCAAAAUCCAGAUUUUUUUUUUCUUUUUUUUUAAUAAUUUGGAAGUUCAUUACAAGCACAGAUACUGUCUCCUCCUCAUAAUAAGCAUCCAAUAAAAAUAGGAAAAAGAAAAAUCAUGCUUCACACCCUCCUUUUCAGUUCUAAUUGCUCCUAGUAACCAAGCUGCAGGAAAUGAGAUAGAUUCACUUUUUUAUUUGCAAACACAGAGAAAAUCCCCUUAUCAGCAGAACAGUGUGAUUUUUUUCCCCUCCAGGAUGGCACAUGCAGACAUCAGACAAGGUUCUCCUUUCCGAGGGGUGGGAUACAGCCAGAACCUGCCUGUGUAGUAGGAAGUGCCUUACAGAUUUUUUUUUUUUUAAGAGAUUUUUAAUUGCUAGAAACCAAUUUAUUCUGUGGCUGGUUUGCAGUUCAAGCUUUUCCCCUUUCUGUUAAUGACACGAGCUUCUGGACCAGCCCGUGCUCUUCACGGGCUGAAAGGCUCUACCUGGCCACAUUGAGACAUACAUGAGUGCUAUAGCUAUAUGCAUUUUGUGUAAUUCAGUGCCCCAACACAGCCAACCCUUUCCAUCUAUUCUGAAUUUAUUUGCAUUCCUAGCUUUGCAGCAGCUCCCUGCUUGACAGUGAGACCCCCCAGCUUGGCCUCUGUCCUGUGGCAGUCCCCAGGAGCAGGUGGGUGCGGAGGAGGGCAGUGGAGGAUGCUCUGCCCCGGGUCACUCUCCUGACCCACACCUGUGAUGAGGUGGUGCCCGGACUCAGCUCUCUGGGCAGGAAGAGGUGAGGAACCCGCUGCCGAUGGCCACACGGUGGAGCACGGCAGCGCCAACACGGUCCGGCUGCAAAGCGCACGUCUCUCGCCGUUACUGAAGAAACAAGCUGCUUGGAGCCUCAAGAGCUGCAGUUUCUUGGAAAUCUUGUGGCUUUCAGAGCUGAGCCCAGGUCUGGGAUUUGCUGCGGGCCAGGACUGACCCUGCCCACCUGGACACCCCAAGGGCCCUUUGGACAGCCUUGGCUGAACAGAUCCUGAGGCUCCUACUCUCCUAAUAUUUGAUUUUAUAUCUAGAUAUCACAUCAUGUUUAAGAAAACCUCCACUCUCAAUGAGAACAUGCUGUCACACAGCCAUCACUGAUUAAAGCACCAAAGAUGCAGAAGGAGGAGAACCAAACCAGUGUGAACUAGUCUCUCAGCCGUGUCCUUCUCCUGCUCAUGACAAUCAGUGCCACACCAUACUAACACUGUAUUUGUGAGCAUUUCCGCUCCUGCACUAGAUGGAUGUGUAAAUUCCCAGUUAUGGUCAACAACAACAACAACAAAAUAGAAGACAAGAAAAUUAAUCACUUCUGCAGACUGAAUCACCAUCUAGAGGUGCUUGUGUGGGGUAGAAAACAUAAAAACAACUUAGUGAUUAUAUGACGGACCUCAGACUGCCCUUCUCCUGUGUUCAUGGCCAUCUCCACCAUGGAUCCUGUCUAACAGCAGAAGCUAAUACAUGGCACAGGCACCUCAUGGUUUACAAUGUCCCAGGGACACACAAACACCAGCUCAGUGCACGGCCAGGGUAACCUUGUGCUAAAUUCCUGCACAGCAGCAUCACUGCUCUUAUCCCUAAGCCAGAAACAACCUGGGCUGACAUCGCCACGUCCCCACCUGCUGAUGAUGCGCCAGCAACAUUUCAAGGCUGCUGAAUUUGGUUAGUUUUGCAAGUUUCCUGCAUGUGCCUUGAAUAUUAAUAUCAAGGUCUCCAGUUUCCUUUACUGGCCAGGGGAGCCUUGCAAGUGAAAGCAAAAAAUGCUUCAAGGAGAAUUAUAGAAGGGGGAAGAUAGUCAAACUUUCUGGCCUCACAGGAUAAAAAUAAUGACUUCCCACUGCUGGCAAGGAAAUUAAAACCUUUCUUUGCUUACCCAAGAAGCCAUUCCAUGGCAGCAUCGGUCUGAAAACCGCAAGCUUUUCUUUUUUAAAGGAAAGGAGAAAAUACCUUAAAAGUAAAGAGAAUAAUACAUGAAAAAGGUUUGCCCGAGAAGGGUGCAUUGCGCUGGUAGAACAUUUACUAUCAGAAGUGCCCCAUUAGCUUUAUGUAAUUGUUCAACUCAGUGACAAAAAACAGCCUUUACUCCCUAUUUAACUGUGUCACACAACAUCAGAAUAUUCAGAAAGAGAUGUGGAGACCAAGUACUACACCAGCUGCCCUGUGACCUGAACCCUGCUAAAGGUUAUUAAAUAGGAAAUAUCUCCAGUGUCCUCCUCUCACACCCACCCUAGGACCCGGCUGAUUUUGAUCUGGAAAACAUCCGGAAAACAUUUUUUCUUCUCUGACCUUCCCUGAAGCAAGCGGGAAUGGCUGUCAUGUUACCUUCUCUAAAUUCAAUAGAUUUAAAAAAAAAAAACAAAAACCAAGAGCUUUGGUUUUCCUUAAGGUGCAUCACUCACAAGCCAUCGCGCACCAUCCAACUUGAGUGUCUCCUGGUAUGGGAGGACAAACAGGAGGGUCUCAGGAAGGCACAAAGAAAUUGAGAUUUUGUGUGGGGAUAAAGGACCCUGGGAGCUGGCUGCCUUUCGGUGCCUGUUCUCAGGAACCUAAAGUUCAAGUGCACAUGAUGCAAAAUGCAUCUCCUCUUCCAUUUCCAUCCCCAUGCCCGCAUGCCCCAAUCCAGCUGCUUCUGCCGCAUCACACAGCCCAAGCAUCUCGUAAAGUUUCAUACCAAGCUGGGGCAGACUUUCAAAAAAAUCUGAACACCGGGAAAACGUCAUACAGAAUUCAUAUCAGCUGCAUGAAAUAUAUAAAGAUAAAUGUGAGCUUUCUGUCUGAGAUGUCUGUGAAUAAAUCUAAGCUACUGAUGCCUGUGGGUGUCUCUGAGUGAAAUAUUAAUCUCUCACUAAUGGCAAUAUUUUGAUUAACAACUUCCUUUGCCUAGUGCCAAAUACAACUUUUUUUCUUUUAAAUCACAGACAAGUGUCAUAUAAGUUUUCAUUUUCACAUUAACAGGAUAUAUAUAUAAAGUACUUGGUAUUAGAGUUCUCUCAGCAGGCAAUUACAGAUACGUUCUGCUUUUUAAACAGUUUUGGUUUGGAUUUUUAAUUAGUCUCAAGGUGACUUCCAGCACACAAACACAUCCUGCUGGAUUCCCCAUAAAACUGCUGGUAAUAGUUUGUUUCUCGUGCUUACUGCAGCACUUUGCAGUGCAGCGAUUACACAACAAUCUGUAAAAGGUCUAAUUUUCAAAAUAUACUGAAAACUAAGAAACAAAGGUGAAGCAUCAACCAUCAGUAUUGAUAUACAGUAUGAUUUACUUACGAGUACAUGUGAGCCCCAUGUGAGAAGGAGCCUGUUGUAAAUCAGUCUCGUUCAACUGCUGACUUUUCCAAUGGAUUCAGCGAGGAAAGUUCUCUCAAAACCUUGUUCUUCAUGUUCUCAUCUGUCUCCUGUCCUGCCCCAGUGGCCUCUGGUACAGAGCAUUUCACCCCUCGCUGGGUGCAUCACUGCCAGCAGGACUCAGAUGAGAAGUCCUGGUUGCUCUGGGACCAGUUGGACCAGGGCGCCUUCCUCCAUCUCCCCUCCUGCCCAAGAUACAUGAAAUGCUGUGAUUUAGAGAAAGCUAUUCUGCAUGAAUAGCUGUCACUAAUCCCCUUCCACCUGUUACAGACACACUUUGGGUACAAAACAUACAAGCCUUGAUGACCCUGGGGUGCCAAGCAGACUGAUGGUGCAAACUGGAGGUGCUGGGCAUCCAGAUAACCUCUUCCAACACAAACAGCCUUCCUGAUGGUAUGGAAAUCUAUAGGGGGUGUCUUGUUAACUGAUGCAGCUUUCAUUUCCCUCUAAUUUCAUGGUGUUUCCAAAACAAUCCUAUAUCCAGGCUUCACCCCCUGCUUUGCUAAAUGUUCAGAAAUCUCUAAUCAGGCUGGAUAAAAUCAGAGAACAGGUCAGAUAAAAUAACAUUCACAUUGAGCGCAUGCCUCUGGGUAAGGGGUAAGUGAAGGUUAAACAGAUAAAAGAGAUUCUUAGGCUGGAACAGAAAUUUCCUGGAGAUAAGGCAGCUACAGAAAGAUGGCUGAUAAGAGACUCACCCACCCGCGUGAACUUGACCAUGGGGGGUGGGGGCGAAAGCAAAACCCAGAAAAAUAGACAAUAUUCCCCACAAGUUUUCAAGCUGCUUAAAUAUUUUAAUGCUCAGUGGUGAGAGGUUGAUUAACAAAAGAGUUGUGUGGUGUAUUUUUUUUUCUUUUUGUAUGAAGAAAGUCUGCGAUUCCUGAGAAAUUUCAGUUUCUCAUUAAAAAAAAGGAAUUUCAGCUGACACAAAAAUUGUUUGAAACUUCUCAAAAGCUGUUUUCCUCCGGCAACACGUCCUUGUGCUGGUCCUGCCACAGGCUACAGUGGGCAUGAGGAGGGCUCCCCCAAAUAACCUCAGUCUGCGGCUUUGUUUCUAAUGAAAACUCACUUGUUUGCUUCCUCCGAGGUUGGCUUCACCAAUAAGCCAUUUCCCUGUUUCUCAAAGACUCUUCACUAACCAAGUUGGGAGUUUUAUGGGACUUUCGGAAGGAAACAAAAUAAUAACCACAGAUGCCUCUCGAAAAAAGGUGUUUAAAAAACAAACAAACAAAGAAACAAACAACAAAAAAACCCAAACGUUCUAAAGAUUUUCUGCCAAACACCAACCAAACAAAAAAUCCCAAACCCAACAAACACGGAACUGUGAUCCAGAGCACCUUGCUGCAGAACGGCUCCAAGAAACAACCUACACUCGAAGCAAGAAAACAAACAGGUUAUUCUGCAGUAGGGAAAUUAUCAAUGUGAAAUGGUCUCUCUCUGGUUUGCAUUAUACUGUACCUUAAAAGUUUCGCUUUUCAGCACAAACCUGAAUAAAUUAUGAAGAACUGCAGUUACUAAUUAAAGCUCUACUAAAAUGUAAAGUGCACUUAUUGGAUGUGUUUUAAAGUAUAGAAAUUCCAGCCAAAGCUUGAGAAACCAAGUAUUUUAGGGAAUUAUUUUUUUUUUAAAUUACUAGCUUACGAAGUUAUUGUAUAAAAAAUUUUCUCAUAAGACCCAGCAAACAUACAACUCUCCAAAUACACAGCACUCAGCUGGGUAAAGCCCUCACCUCUGAAAAUCUGCCAAUUCGCAAGCAUUAAGACAAAAGCAAGACUGAUUCCAGCUCUUUUUGGAAGUGUGAUUAUUCCAAGUACUUGUGGAGCCAGAAGGGCCAUGCUGUGAGCCGUGCAGCUGCAUUCAUAUACACCAGAUGAAACCCUGUGGCACUGAGCAGUAGCAAAUACAUCGUAUUUUACCCAGAAUAGUCCCAGUGACCCCAUCAGGAAAGCUGGCUGGGGACCUUUUACAGGUUCUUCCUCCUGGACCAUCUUUGGGAACUGAGGUGACAGGUGGUAUCUUUACAAACAGAAAGGUGUUGGAAAGUCUCCAAAGAACAGCUGGAGGAAGAAUUAAAAACAAAGAAAAACCCCACAAAACAACCUUCUCCCUCAUUAACUCUGAGCACAGUCCCAAUAUUUUGACAAUACUUGUCAUCUCAAAUGGGAAGGAAAACGUGGAACAGCAACAUUCUGUGGAGAAUAACUUUUCAAAUCCCAUCAAACUACAGGGAAAUGCCAUCUUUCAGAUGAGCUUCCACCUGCAGUAUGUCCACACCACGGCAAGGCAGCUACUGAUAACUGCAAUCACAGCACUUCAAUUACUUGGCAUUAGCCAAGUCAGAACUGGGAAAUGCAGCUGUGUUGGGUGAAUGGGUGAUGUGGGAGAAAAAGUUAAUUGGAUUUUUUUUAUUACUGCUGAGUUGGAUCCAUUUCAAAUUGCCAAAGUUAGCUCUUUCCCUAUACACAUGAACAUACACCACAUUCGGGAAUAAGCAAACCUGCAGCUGCCCAGCAGUGAGGAUGCUGUAGCUGCCUGUAAUUCUUUCCUGCCAUCUAGCCGCAGACCAGACCAUCAACAACCUGAACACCGAGUAUUGCAUUUAAGAGAGGGCAGCAGUGAGACACAACUGCUGCAAGCCCUUCACAGGGUCUGCAGGUUCCCCAGGCAGCCCAUGGAGACUCUCCAAGGAGUCCCCGAGGACAAAGCACGGUUUAUGCUGCACCACCUGCACCUCUGCUGCCCCCCCGAGCCUGCCAAACGCACUCGAAUCCAUCAACAGCCAUUCCUGUUCAAAGGCCUUAAACCUUUGCGUUUAGCCCCAAGCACAGACACCCCUUGUGUGCCCCAUCGAAGGCAGAGGGCGUUCACACAGCACAACCACGUCCUUCCAUCCCCACCUCCUUACUGCCACCCAGCACUCUGUGCACAUCAGAGCCCCUCUUUCAAACAGAGAUUACUCAUUACUCAUUACUGUCUUUUCCUUCCAGGGAUGUGCAUUUAUUUUUCCCCUGCAAUGUUACCAAAAGCCUUCUCAUACUCAUGCGUCACUGCACAACCUGCCAGUCCUUUUUUUAUACCUAAACCACAAUUGUAAUAAUAACCUAAAUAACACCAAAUGUUUUCCAAUACAGAAGCUGAACCCAUGAAGUGAGGCUUUUGCUGAGGUUGUAUUGGUGGAUGAAAUAAAAGCAAUGGAUGCACUUAUUGCUAUGAAUAUACCACAUCAAUUAUUUAUUCCCAAACACACAUUUUUAAAGUGUGCUUUGUUAUUUACAGAUUACAAAGCACGACAGGAAUUUUUCAGUUCAUUUUUUUCCUUUCCUUGAUUUUGUCUCUGGGUGGAUUAUCCAAUUUCAACACGUGUUUCAACAUUAGUAUUAAUUUAACAACUAUGUGGCUGGUGAUUUUCAUAUAUGCAAGAAUCUGUUCUGUCUUUAGUAUACAAAUUUGGCUUUGGUACAUGACUUUGAAGCGUUAAACAGCAUGUGGCUGGUGACACAGAUUUAUGUUUUCAACACAAAUGGUUAGUUUCUAUUCCAUUAACCCUGUAACCUGUGGCAAACGCCACCUGCAACUCUGCUCCAGCAAGCAGCUUGUAGCUACACUGAGCUGUUUGGAAACAUGCAGGGCACUGUAGCUAGAAACAAAAACAUUCUUGUGCUGCACCUUGCUAGCCUUAUUUCUUAUGUGCAAGCAGAACAGCUUGGUCUCUCCAUGCUUUCACAGGUAAGCUGUUUGACAGAGGACUUGAGGCUGAAUUUCACAGUAGCAAUAGUACUGGGAAUAUCAAGUUGAGAAAUGGAAUUGCCAUGACUCAGAGUACUCCAGAAAGAAUAUCUGUAAAAGAUUUGGGAAGUUUCCGCUUUCUUCCCAGGCAAAGAUUUUGGCAAAACUUAGGCAAAAAUAAAUUUCCAUUGUUGGGUGCAGUAACAGCAAAAAUCUGCUUACAGGAAAGCUUUCUCUGUCUACAUCUGGCAUUACUUUAAUGAUAUUUAGCCUCGCAAUAGGAGAAGGAAGUGUUAUGGAUAUGGAAUAAGUGGCACUGGACACCAGUUAGCGCAGGCAGGUACGACCCAGGUUAAUAGCAGGUUCUAGAGGUUUUUUGUACUUCUACAAAAAGUUUUUUCCUGCACGCACCCCCUCAGCAGAAAAUGCUUUAAGCACAGCCCAGUGACCAUGCAAAUUGUUUGUUAAACACUCUUGCAUUGCCCU
Molecule: long non-coding RNA, 10752 nt
Organism: Columba livia (rock pigeon)
Lineage: Eukaryota; Metazoa; Chordata; Aves; Columbiformes; Columbidae
Exons: 3
Source: RefSeq, a predicted model, not a curated record